This is a long non-coding RNA of Hemibagrus wyckioides, 2428 nucleotides long. RefSeq lists it as uncharacterized. Lineage: Eukaryota; Metazoa; Chordata; Actinopteri; Siluriformes; Bagridae. The record is from RefSeq and is a predicted model, not a curated record. The transcript is spliced from 3 exons.
GAAUGAAACAAAUCCAUCCAUUGUUGUUUUUCAGUUACAGAAGCUGCCACAGCAAGCCAGUUGUGUGAAUUUAGUCUAAUUGGGUUCCAGUGAUCAGUUUCAGCAUACUAACACAUGGCCACAUACAAAUACACAUAGAAUGUGGCUCACCUCAUGGUCUCAUUACAUUCUGAGAAAGUGAGCAGCGAAGCCUGAGUCACGAGCUGCUCAGAAUUAGAUUACUUUAGCCUUCACUUCCAGGCAGCUCCUACCUAAUGCAGAAAUGCAUGUUUUCCAGUAAGACCAACAUUGUUCACUACUGUUGCUAAGUCGAAGGAUAACAGGCUUGUAGAUCAUUUACGACUUAAUUUAAAGGUUUAGCCCCCAGAGGGAACGUGAGAGAGGGAGAGAGAGAGGGAGUGUAAUGAAAUAAAACAGAUUUUAUGCUAAUUGCGUCCGUGCACGAUAAAGUGCACUAGGUCCAUUUAGCUUAUUGAUUGAGAGGGAGCUGUGGAGCAGCUGUCAGUCAGUUCAGCGUGCCACUGGGGAACAGGCAGAGUAACACCGUCAGGAAUACAGUGUACUCAGAUGAUCGUGAUUCUGGCUAUUGUUCCUCUUCAGUUCUCUAAAGUCAAGGUCUAUUCAAGGGGUCCGUGGAGGCCAAAAUAAAGAAAGGCUUUAGCACAUUCCUGAAGGAGUUUUGAACAUUGAAUCAGUGGCUUAUUAAGUACCAGAAAAACUAGAAGAGGAAGCAGAAACCAAAUAAAGAAAGUGGAAGACUAAAAGGAAUAAAUUGGACACAGAGUAUGGAACAUGAUGGAAAAGAAUCAGAUAAAAGGUACACAGACUUACAGAAACCAAUUUAUCCUGGUCAGGGUUACGGUGGGAGUGAGGCUGGAAUACACCCGGGCUGGGAGACUAAACUGUGUAGUAUAAUAGUGCACUUUAUGUGGAACUGUGUGAUUGCUCUAGUCCACAUUACCUUGGUGUUUUAAGUAGCUUUAUGUCUUGAGGAAUGUUGUUUCAUUUCACUAUGUCCUGUACCAGCUAUGUAUGGUUCAAAUGAUAAUAAAAACUUCUUGACUCCUGACCUGACAGAUCAGGUGACAAUCAAGUGUUCUUGCUGACAAUAUUACCUCUUUUUACUAAAGGAUUUUGUUGAUGUGUCUAUGUUCAGCACUGAAUAUCUUUGUCGUAUUACUCUACAGUGGUGUUUAAUGACUCAUAUGAAAGUAGGCACUCAGAAGUUUUUAUCUAGCCUGAUAUAUUCAUAGAAAUGUUCCAGAAAACAAAAACAGCUAUAUUUUUUUUUUGUUUUUUGCAUAAAUGUCUUUGAAGUAAUUGAUGAUAUCAAACCCAUUUCUGAUCUCUGAGAUACCCCAAGUGAUUGUUCAUAGCUAUCUAAAAUUUGAAGGUGUUUUUUGAACCAUUAAAAUUCUGUGUAAGGUUUACCAACAGAGGGAAAAUCACACACCUCACACUGAAAGCCAACAGAGUCCUGACUCACUUUAUAUUAUAAUUCAUUUGUUAUUACUGACUGAAAACAUAAAAUAAGUCAAUUUUCUGCCAGCUAAAGAGAACUCCAGUGUACUGGUAAAUAAAAAGGUUAAUUUAUAAUACUACUGUAUAAGUAUAAUUAGAAGUCUAAAACAUGUGGAAUGUUUCAAUCUCGUGCCCUUAUUAAGGGUUUAUUCACCUUCUUUUAUCGCUCUAUCCCUGACAUUAUUGUAAAUCUCAGGCCCUGAACCAUAGUGCUGUUUUACAACAGGCGGCAUUGUUGAGCACAGACGUGCUGUUUUCUUAUUAGCAAUUAGUUACACUCCAAUCUGUCAGCUGCUACACAUGGAAAUGGCGUGUUGACUGACAGCUUUGUGGGUUUUAGGGAACAUUCCUGCGGUCACACUAGGCAGUUUGUGAGACAUCACAAUACUUCCUGUUUUAGGAAUGACUGUCUUCACUUGACCACUUUUCUAGUAUAUACACUUGUCUUUUAUGUGCUAUUAUGGUGCAUUGUUGUUCUUUAAAGCUGAGGUACAUAUGGUGAGGAGGAUGAAGAAGUGAGAGAGAAGGUGGAAGGUAAAGGAGGCGUGGUAGGAUGGAAAGGAAAGAGAACAAGAAGGUGGUUGAUGGAAAUGGUUACGGUUCUACACUCCCACUGGAUCCAUUUUAUUUUUAUUUAAGCACAGGUUUCAUUAAGUGGGUAUAAUUUAUAAAUGUACAUGUAAGCAGAAAGCUUUCUGGGCACAGGUUGAUUCUAACCAGUGUAGCAUGGCCAUAAGUGGAGCUAUUUCAGUUGGAAUUGUAAAGCAUUGUAACAUUCACUCCUUCCAAUAAUCCUGUUAAUAAACUGUACUAGACCAUAUGUGGAACAUGCAGUGGGGUGUUGUUACUCUGUUCUAUGUUAAAAUGGAAAAAUGCUGUUAAGGGAGGUGCCACUGUUUACAGUGCU